AAGACUAUAGACCUGCGGAGUACCUGCGGAGGGAUCAUUACAGAGUUCAUGCCCUCGCGGGUAGAUCUCCCACCCUUGAAUACUUCUACCUUUGUUGCUUUGGCGGGCCGCUUCGGCUACCGGCUCUCGCUGGUAAGUGCCCGCCAGAGGACCCCUAAACUCUGAAUGUCAGUGUCGUCUGAGUCCUAUACAAUGGCUAAAACUUUCAACAACGGAUCUCU
Molecule: unclassified non-coding RNA, 221 nt
Filed under: soil metagenome
Description: partial contains 5.8S ribosomal RNA, internal transcribed spacer 2, and large subunit ribosomal RNA
Source: RNAcentral